This 1008-nucleotide small RNA is filed under the name Pongo abelii (Sumatran orangutan). RNAcentral describes it as "retained intron". The record is from RNAcentral. Lineage: Eukaryota; Metazoa; Chordata; Mammalia; Primates; Hominidae.
UCCGGAAAGGCGUUUGGGAUGCCCACGAUGAGGCUGCUGUCAUUUGUGGUGUUGGCUCUAUUUGCUGUCACUCAAGCAGAAGAAGGAGCCAGGCUUUUGGCUUCCAAAUCACUGCUGAACAGAUAUGCCGUGGAGGGACGAGACCUGACCUUGCAGUACAACAUCUACAAUGUCGGCUCAAGUGCUGCAUUAGACGUGGAACUAUCUGAUGAUUCCUUCCCUCCAGAAGACUUUGGCAUUGUGUCUGGAAUGCUCAAUGUCAAAUGGGACCGGAUUGCCCCCCAGUGCUAGCAAUGUCUCCCACACCGUGGUCCUGCGCCCCCUCAAGGCUGGUUAUUUCAACUUCACCUCAGCAACAAUUACUUACCUGGCCCAGGAGGAUGGGCCCGUUGUGAUUGGCUCUACCAGUGCACCUGGACAGGGAGGAAUCCUGGCUCAGCGAGAGUUUGACAGGCGAUUCUCCCCUCAUUUUCUGGACUGGGCAGCCUUUGGGGUCAUGACCCUUCCCUCCAUCGGCAUCCCCCUGCUAUUGUGGUACUCCAGCAAGAGGAAAUAUGACACUCCCAAAACGAAGAAGAACUGAUUGGGGCUUCUACAGCCCUCCUCUCCCAAGAAAUCCAGGCUCCUCUCCCAAGAAAUCCAGGUGCUUUCCAGACUCCAAAGGGUAUCUUAAAUGCAAUCUCUUCUCUCUUAGCCCUUGGCCACUUUCUCCUGGAUCCUGCCCUGCUCUCAGCCAUAGUGAAGAACCAGGCCUAGGAGUCUGUGAGAGCCUCCUUGGUUCCAUCGUGAAGCCAUAAACAGGAAUGCCUUUGGCAAUAGCCUUGAGCCUAGAGGGCCCUCUGAUGCCCCACUGAGGUGCUGUUGGUUUAUUGCUGGCAAUGUGAAUUCUCUCAGGGGUCUAGGAGGGGCAUUUUGGAGACUGCCUGACACCACCCCCAUCCCCUGCCUCCCCCUCUCAGAAGAGGGUGGAAGAUGAAAUGAAAGCUAUGGGACUCUAGGAGGAUACCC